This 150-nucleotide non-coding RNA is filed under the name uncultured Neokomagataea sp. RNAcentral's name for it is "FMN riboswitch (RFN element)". It matches the Rfam family "FMN riboswitch aptamer (RFN element)". From Rfam's summary of the family: The RFN element is a highly conserved domain that is found frequently in the 5'-untranslated regions of prokaryotic mRNAs that encode for flavin mononucleotide (FMN) biosynthesis and transport proteins. The record is from RNAcentral. Lineage: Bacteria; Pseudomonadati; Pseudomonadota; Alphaproteobacteria; Acetobacterales; Acetobacteraceae.
GUUCUCAGGGCGGGGUGUAAUUCCCCACCGGCGGUAAUGUAAGGUUUCGCCCCUACAAAGCCCGCGAGCGCCCCAGCCGUUCCAAGCUGGGGGUCUAGCAGAUCCGGUGUAAUUCCGGAGCCGACGGUCAUAGUCCGGAUGAGAGAGAAC